Long non-coding RNA from Mus musculus (house mouse), 3123 nucleotides. RefSeq annotates it as predicted gene 15704. Lineage: Eukaryota; Metazoa; Chordata; Mammalia; Rodentia; Muridae. The transcript is spliced from 4 exons. The record is from RefSeq and is a predicted model, not a curated record.
CGGAAAGUACCAUCUUGAGACUCUUCAAGGGAGGGGUGACUGAUUGGGAGGAUUUUUAGAAAAGAUUUAAUUACCUACACUGCAAAUUACACUGUGUUGAAUCUGAUCCUCCAGUAGAAGAAUCAUCAAAGCGUGUCCAGUCUUCUUAAAUGGAGUAUUGGCCGUGUGUACUUUUGAGGUUUAGGGGUAGCUCCCCAUGGAAAUAUAUACGAUCACAAGAACCAUUAACAUGACCACUAGAGGAUAAAGCACAAACCACUUCCCAAACUGCUAGCGCAGUUGUCCGGAGCCCUGAUUCCUGGGUUUAUCAGCACCCCACCCCCACCCCCACCCUGCAGUGGGCUGACAUUCCCGAUUGCCUCCAGCAAAGAACAGGUUUUUGGGUUUAAAAAACAAAACAGGAAAGGUGCCGGUUUUCUGUGCCUCCAAGGUACGAUCACAACCCCUGGCAACCACAGAUUAAAGACUUUUAAAGAAGAAAGAAAAACUACCUACACCCCCACACACAUACACAUACACACACACACACACACACACAUACACAUCCCAAAACUGGGCAGAAACGCAGAGAUCACCACAUAUUUAAUAUACUUCCCUGGGACAAAACGUGUCUCAUGAAAAAUGGCUGAGCACCAAUCUACAGUUAGGUAUCUAAGUGUUCGUCCCUGCUGUCAGCGGGUUGGAGGGAUUUUUUUUUUUUUUCUCCUUAACGCAAGGCUUUGAUGUGUUGGCAGAGCUGACCUGACAAGCUGGAGUAGGCUAGGAAACGUGUCCUGCAUAUUUCCUUCUGUGCCUCCAAAGAUUAGGACCAGAACUGACUGCGAUUAAACCCUACCUAGGAUCCAAGGGCUUGAGCCCUUGAUGCUGUUCGAUGCUGGGAAAGUAGUGGUUCCGCAACCCCGGGCAGCUCGGCGAUGCUGAAAUGAGCAACCCAGCCCCUAGCUGGUCUCCGCCGCCCACCACCGGGCCGCAGCGGCCUCGCACGCCAAGCCCCCGACCCUUAAAGUUGAGCCUCCUAUGAUUGCCCUCUGCAAGUUUCCAGGGUGCAGGACGCAGCCAACUUUGCAAGCCGCCUCUGGGCGACUCGCUUCCCCGGAGGGGCUGGCCACCGGGGAGGCAGGGCGGCUACGGUUCAGACAAAAUGCAGAAGCCUUCCAACCGCCACUUUUCCUUUUCCAGAGGGGAAGCUCUCCCUCCAGGCGAGCAUCCGAUUUCCAUCUGGAGAGGGAGAGGGCCGACCGCGCAUUCCCCUCGCCCACAAAAGUGGCCUCUAAAGUCGCUCGCCAAGGACACCGGGAAGGAGGCGACCCCGGGCAGGGCCAACUUUCGGGAGGCGAGGGCAUCCUGGGCUACAGAAUGGGACUGUCAAAAAAGAGAAAGAAGUCUAAGUCGAGCAUUCUCCAAGGCAUAGUUUGGAUUGCUUUUCCUGAGUAGCUGUGAUUCAGCAACAGCACCCCCACCUCCCUGAGCAGCAGGCCAUGAUAGAGGCAACAGACAACGAGGGGAAAAAAGGCAAAUGAAUCAGAGGUGUGCCUCAGGCUUUGUUACAGCCCGAAGCAUGGAUGUGAUAGCUGUGGCUACCCGACAGUCUUGUGGCACCAUAGAGUCUCAAAGUCCUGCUAAAGAAGACAACAGAAGGAUGAAAAGAAGAGCUGAUCUAAGAACCCCAAACUACUUAUCUCUGGGUGUAUGUGAGAGAGAACUAUCAGGCGACCCCUGUGAACAGGUGGUUUGACCCAAAGGGGUCUGGAUUCACAGAUUGAAAACUACUGCUCUGGAGUCCUCGGGAAGAUUUGCAGGCUUUCAAAGGGAAAUGGUACCUGUGGAGGAGGCAAAGAAACCUGAGAUGAUUGAGGGCUGGAAUUAACACAGAAAACUCAAGGAAAGUUAAAGGAAGCCUGAAGGUGUUCUUAACCUUUCCUGGAGCCUGGACCUGGUAAAAUGUGUGUAGUUAGGAUUAGAGAAAGAGCAAAAACAUCAAAUGAGGCCAGUGUGCCAUUCCUGUGAGAAAAUACAGACGUUAGACAUCAGUGCCGGUACCACCCAGUCGUUACCUUUCUUGUGCUGACCACAUGCCUGACAAGAAGAAACUUAAGGGCUAAGGGUUGGGGUGAGGGGUUACUUGGGCUCACGGUUCUCUGGGAUACAGUCCAUUCUGGUGAGAAAAGUGAGGCGGCCAAAGGUCCAUGGUGGAGAGAGUGUGGGUGGAGCUCCUUACAGGCAGGUCUACAGAACAGGAAGCCCAGAGAGACGAAGGUGGGUGCUCAGCUGAUUUUCCACUGUACUCCUUUAAUUCAGCCCCAAAUCCUAGCCCCCCCUCAGUUAAUCCUCUCUGGGAACAAUCUCUCAGACACUACCAGAGGCAUAGCUCACUAUUAUUCCAGGUGUUGGUUAAUCCAGUCUACUGAUACUUAGAAUUAAGUAUCAGAAAAUCAGGAAGAAGGACAACUGUCAUCACCCACCAUCAUUUAGAGUAUUAAUACAAGGGACCGGUCUUCGUCUGAGGAAGCAGAUCGAGAGAUGUCAGAGAACAGACAAGUCAUGUCUGAGUUUGAUCACUGGGGACAGACCACACAGAGAUGUCUUUGCCCGGGACUGGUACACAACCUGAGAGGUUGAGUUGAAACUGAGCGAGCCUUUGGAAUGGAGCUAAGCGAUGACUCAUCUCACUGACUUUAGUUCACCAGCUCUGGUUCCCUUCCUCUCAGGGAAACAGAGUGGAUGCCUAACAGUGCUGAAACACUCCCUGGAGAACACGCCUCCGACUAACUCAUAAAAACUGAAUGCUUUUCAUUACAACUCGAGGGAGUGACUUAUUCUGCCCUCCCCCCCACCCCCGCCUUCCCUGAGGUGCCCCAUCCUGAAUGGCAGAGAGUGACAUUGCCCCAAACAUGACCCGUUUGUUAUGAGAUCAUAGUUGAGCCAUGAAUAUCUACCAACUUUGCUGAUUUGAAAAUUAAUUUUUAGUGUUGGGAGAACAAUAAAAAGUAGAUAAUAAUACCAGAACUAUUUAAUUAUUGGAAAUAUCUGGGUAAUGUUUAGUGGUGUAUGAACAGGUAGGAAAAAUACAAAUGUUUAUAUAUUGGAUUUAUUUGACAUGACAAAAUAAAAAAUCUUUGUUUU